RNAcentral lists this ribosomal RNA (495 nucleotides) under uncultured bacterium. Its description in RNAcentral is "partial 16S ribosomal RNA". It matches the Rfam family "Bacterial small subunit ribosomal RNA", at positions 28 to 507 of the family's 1533-position model. The record is from RNAcentral.
GACGAACGCUGGCGGCGUGCCUAAUACAUGCAAGUAGAACGCUGAAGGCGGAGCUUGCUUCUCUGGAUGAGUUGCGAACGGGUGAGUAACGCGUAGGUAACCUGCCUGGUAGCGGGGGAUAACUAUUGGAAACGAUAGCUAAUACCGCAUAAGAGUAGAUGUCGCAUGACAUUUGCUUAAAAGUUGCAAUUGCAUCACUACCAGAUGGACCUGCGGUGUAUUAGCUAGUUGGUGAGGUAAAGGCUCACCAAGGCAAGGAUACAGAGCCGACCGGAGAGGGGGGGCGGCCACACUGGGAGUGAGACACGGCCCAGACGCCUACGGGAGGGAGCAGGAGUGAAACGUCGGCAAUGGACGGAAGUCUGACCGAGCAACGCCGCGGGAGUGAAGAAGGAUGUCGGAUCGGAAAGGUCUGUUGUAAGAGAAGAAAGAGUGUGAGAGUGGAAAGUUCACAGUGUGACGGUAUCUUACCAGAAAGCGACGGCUAACUACGUG